This 2162-nucleotide long non-coding RNA is filed under the name Homo sapiens (human). RNAcentral describes it as "HSALNT0076280". Lineage: Eukaryota; Metazoa; Chordata; Mammalia; Primates; Hominidae. The record is from RNAcentral.
GGCUGAGGAGAGGAGCUGGUGUGGGUGGGAAUUUGGCUGACUCCACGGUUUUCCAUAUGCACCGUGUGCUCCUUGUGCUUGAGCAGGAAGCUGGUCUCCACUGACAGACCUGGGAGCAGGAAAACAGCCACUGUGUAGGUGGUUUUGAAGAAACCUCCCUCUGUUUUUCCUGUACCCAGCCGGUGCAAAGAGAGGCAACCAUCUGGUGAAUUGUGGACUGGGUCGAUUCGAAAAGAGACUACUUUUUUUCUUGUUCUAAAACUGAAGUUCAGCUGGAAUUACUGAACCAUUGCUCAACACUUCUUUCAUCUUCUGAAUAUAGUCUUCUACAAGAGAAGUUAUUAAUUGAUUGGAGGAGAUGAAAGGAUCUACUAAUCUGCUGGAAUCAUAUGCAAAAUGAUAUGCUGGAGGACUUUAAAGAUCAGAAGACAAGUGACAUGCCUGUAAUCUCAGCACUUUGGGAGGCCAAGGCAGGUGGAUCACUUGAGGUCAGGAGUUUGAGAGCAGCCUGGCCAACACAGUGAAACCCUGUCUCUACUAAAAAUACAAAAAUUGGUAGGGACUGAUUGUGCAUGCCUGUAACCCCAGCUACUCAGGAGGCUGAGGUGGGAGAAUUGCUUGAAUCUGAGAGGUGGAGGUUGAAGUGAGCCUAGAUUGCACCACUGCACUCCAGCCUGGGUGACAGAGCAAGACUCCAUCACCUCACCCCACCUGCCAAAAAAAAAAAAAAAAAAAACAAAACAAAAAGAAAGAAGAUGCGUGAACAGUUGAAGGCCAAGAGCACAAAAUUACAAAGUUUUGACACUGUCAAAUGACAGAAGAGUUAACAACAACCAAAAAAACAAGGGUAGAAAGAUUAUUGAACCCAAUAGAAUGCUUUUGUUGCAGUAUAAAAUGGAAUUUAAACUGGCUAAACAAAAGAGAUUUAUUUGUUUGCGAAUUAAAUAGUGAAGAUGUAGAACCAUCUUCAAGAGUGGCCUCAUCAAUCUUUCUCUGGGAUUCUGUGGGCCUUGCCAUCCCCCAUGUGUUAUGUUUAUCCUCAGGCUAGGCCAGGGGGUCAUUUCCUGGGGAAGAGAACAUGUAGUUCCUGAAGGGUUGAUUGAAAGGCUUGUGGUUUGCCUUGAUUAGCUUACUUCUGGACCAAUCACUGUAGCUAGGGGGAGUGACUUGCACUGUAGAAGGAGAUAGUAUAAUUGUUUUUUAAUGCCUUAUGAUAUGUUUGGCUGUGUCCCCACCCAAAUCUCAUCUUGAAUUGCAACUCCCACAAUUCCCACAUGUCACAGGAGGAACCCGGUGGGAGGUGAUUGAAUUAUGGGGGCAGGUCUUUCCUGCACUGUUCUCAUGGUAGUGAAUGAGUCUCACAAGGUCUGAUGGUUUUAAAAAUGGGAGUUUCCUUACACAAGCUCUCUUUUUUGCCUGCCGCCAUCCAUGUAAGACGUGACUUGCUCCUCCUUGCCUUCUGCUAUGAUUGUGAGGCUUCCCCAGCCAUGUGGAACUGUAUGUCCAUUACAUGUCUUUUUUGUAAAUUGCCCAGUCUCAGGUAUGUCUUUAUCAGCAGCAUAAAAAUGGACUAAUACACCUCCCAAAACCCAUGGCUGCUAAAUAGUGGGGGAAGAGUGAGUCAUCACUUGAGUAGACUGCAACUCCAGGCCUACAUAAUCUUAAUGCCUACUGAUCUCUUGUUUCUUCCAGAAAAAGCUCCAGGGAGGGCUUUGGAGGGAUUGGUCCAUGUGCUCUUUCUUGAACCAAUAUUAGGUUUAAGGGGGAUAGGCCAGACUUGUGUGUUAGCUGCCGGAGGUGAAUGGGAACGGUCAGCACCACACAAACAACAUGGAACGAACUCCUUAUAGUCACCACAGUCCCUUCAGUGGGUUUCCUGGAUUAGUGAUAGUGAUACCACAGUUAUAAAAUAGUUUCCAUUUUCUGCUCCAGAGAAUGAUUUUAUUUUCAUUUUCAUUCUUUGUAGAGCUUCUUAUUUAUGUGUUUUUAUAAUCUGUUGACUUGGUUUUUUAAAAACUAAUUUUCCUUUCAUUUUCAUGUAAAGGAUCAGUGAUAUCUUUCUUGGUAAUCUGCAAAUUCCUCCAAAGCAGGUGUCCUCUUCUUUUCUCUCUUCUCUCUUCUCUCUUUCCUCCUCUCCUCUCCUCUCCUCUCCCCUCCCCUCC